This is a small nuclear RNA of Ochotona princeps (American pika), 102 nucleotides long. Lineage: Eukaryota; Metazoa; Chordata; Mammalia; Lagomorpha; Ochotonidae. The record is from Ensembl.
GUGCUCGCUUCGGCAGCACGUGUACUAAAAUUGGAACGAUACAGAGAAGAUUAGUAUGGUUCCUGCACAAGGAUGUCACGCAAAGUUGCACUAGAGUCCAUU